Molecule: ribosomal RNA, 491 nt
Filed under: uncultured bacterium
Lineage: Bacteria
Description: partial 16S ribosomal RNA
Rfam family: Bacterial small subunit ribosomal RNA
Source: RNAcentral
AGUGAACGCUGGCGGUAGGCCUAACACAUGCAAGUCGAACGGCAGCACAGUAAGAGCUUGCUCUUACGGGUGGCGAGUGGCGGACGGGUGAGGAAUACAUCGGAAUCUACUUUUUCGUGGGGGAUAACGUAGGGAAACUUACGCUAAUACAGCAUAUGACCUACGGGUGAAAGCAGGGGAUCUUCGGACCUUGCGCGAUUGAAUGAGCCGAUGUCGGAUUAGCUAGUUGGCGGGGUAAAGGCCCACCAAGGCGACGAUCCGUAGCUGGUCUGAGAGGAUGAUCAGCCACACUGAAACUGAGACACGAUCCAGACUCCUACGGGAGGCAGCAGUGGGGAAUAUUGGACAAUGGGCGCAAGCCUGAUCCAGCCAUACCGCGUGGGUGAAGAAGGCCUUCGGGUUGUAAAGCCCUUUUGUUGGGAAAGAAAAGCAGCAGGUUAAUACCCCGCUGUUCUGACGGUACCCAAAGAAUAAGCACCGGCUAACUUCGU